This is a long non-coding RNA of Centrocercus urophasianus (Greater sage-grouse), 2674 nucleotides long. RefSeq lists it as uncharacterized. The transcript is spliced from 9 exons. NCBI's taxonomy places the organism in Eukaryota, Metazoa, Chordata, Aves, Galliformes, Phasianidae. The record is from RefSeq and is a predicted model, not a curated record.
GGCGAGGGCAAAGCCUCCACCGACCGCUUUGUCAUCUGUUUGUCCCCGCCCUUGCCCCGGCCCUUCACGCGAUGCACGUGUGUAGCCCCGAGGCCUGCAGGCCAUGUGGGGCCUCCCUGAGCACGGCUGUGUAAGGUGCUUGAUGGAAGGCCUCGCACAGCUUACUCCAACAAGUCCCCACAGCGACAGGCUGAGGACCAGAAAUCCUGUUAUCAGCAGUAGAACGUUUCCUGUGAAAGCAAAGACUUCCUCUUCAAUCUCUGUCUUACAAGGGAACAAGCACUCUCCCCUCCACUCCCACCGUUACACAAGAAUGGGAUCUUAGGAAGAAGUGCCCUGUGGCCCACUAUCCUGGUACAUACCAGCUGCCUGUGCUCUCACGUGACCAGACUGAAGGCCUUUGAAAACAAAUAUGGAUUUGAAUGAUAUGUGACAUGGCCAAAUAUUAUCUUGAAACCAUUCUCAUCAGCAUGGGAUUUUUGAGGUAUUUUCAAGGGAAUGCAUACACAGAAUGAAACAAUGGAGAGGAUAACAAGGAAUCAGGCAAGCAGGAUCAUGGGCUGCAGACACAUUGAGGAGCAGCUGAGAGAGGUACCUGGAGCUGGGGCUGUCCUUGUGUUCCCCGUCAGCCUGGGCAACCCCUGAGAUCCUGGCACCUCUGGUCCUGGGGAGAUGCCAGCCUGCACAGUGCCAUGACAGAUCAACAGCAAAGAGACUGCUCAGAAUUGUACAUGGGGUGACAAAAAACACAGUGGAAUAAGUCAAUGAAGAGUCAGAAGAAUCUGCAAAGGAAAUUGGAGGACAGACGAUGAUUUUGGACACAUCAGAAAUUAGAGACCUUUUUCAACUGCCACAACUCUUCAAAAAUGACAGAGUGACCUUGCCAGCACUUGCUUCUGCAGGACUCUUACGUUCAUUAGUAACAAAGCAAUGAGAAGAAUACCUGUCAGAUUUUGAUUGCCUUUAAACUUCCUAAACACAUGGGAGCAAGUGAAUGUUCUAUCAAUGGUGCUGGUUCCACAACUGUGAUGUAAAUAAAUCCCAGGUGUGAUGUUACAUAUUUGACCACACAGCUGCUAACACUUUCCUGUGAUGUGCAUCUUCAUAUUUUUAGGAACUUCCUAUCUAUAAGAGGUCCUGUUUUCACAUCAGAACUUGAGCAGAAUAAGGGAGAUACCUGUGCUAUCCUCAUGAAUCCUGGUUAACUCUACAUCUGUCUCAUGAAUUUUAAGAGUCCUACAUAAAAUUCUAUACACAAGGUAUUGCGUGAAACCCAAAACAAUACUGGCCUCAACUGCUCAGGACUGGAAGACCAGGAAUGUUAGGAACCGGCUGCAGAAGAAAGUAACCUCUCCAAAUACCUCCAGUAUCAAAAUCUAAAUCAAAGACAGCUUUGAAAUGGGUAAAAAGCCUUCUGAUGACCUCAGAGGGGAGCUAUAGUGGUCACACUCUGAGAUCACUGAUAGUUUUUUAACAUCUCCUGAAAGGACUCAGAUGUCAGCAAGAUGAGGAAUCAGUUAGAGUGGUGCACCACCUGGUAGUCAAUGAAGCAGUGGAAAGACAGGAGCACUGUGAAUCUGCUGCAGACACCACCCGUAGAAGUUAGACACCAAGUGGGGCAUCCUGCAUGCUUAAAUGUGCAUUAUUUAUACAAACUGUGGAGAAAAUAAGCCUUGUUAUUUGCACUGUUCCUUUAAGGAGGGGACAAUCCUCUGUUGUAUAGGUACAUGCUGUACUGUUAGAGCUCUGAUCUAAGAUCGGUGCUACUGAAGAUGUCUUUCCCAAGUCAAACGGUUUUGUAACACACAUUUAGCUACAGUAACAACAUUAAGAUUGCUGUAUUUUCCCAAAUCAUGACAUGAGGAGGAGAAAUUAUCAUAUUUGAAAUGCAAGGAAGGACUUUAUGAGAAUGCACUGAAAGCUAAAUCAGGACUGCUCCCAGCUGUGUUUCCGGAGGCAUGUUUAUUCCACUACCUUACUGAAUCACCUUGAGCAAGAUAUUUAACCUCCUUCUUUCUACAUCUAUCUCUCAAGAAAACAAAAAUAAUUCCUAAAACACAAGCUUUUCAAGCUGAUCUAAAGCCCAGCAGAAUGAAUGAUGGUUACUCAUUUCUAAGGGUCUUGACUCCAGCCUUCAGUCAAAUAUUUAACUAGUUAAUGUUUGUAACUAUCAGUGCUGUUAUUACUUUGUAUGACUAUAAAUGACGUGGGAGGUUGUUACUGUUAGGUAAGCAGCAAUGGACAUAAGUGGAUUUUUUAUUUUAUUUUAUUUUUUGCAUUGAGCAGCGCAUGAACUGCUAUAAACCUGUCCCAAAUUUAAAAUAGCAAAAAUAGUGGUAGCUGUGCAGCUGUGUUCUGGCUUGUUAAUAUUCACGAAUGGUAUGAAUUUGAAUACAUUAAAACUUUUCAUUUAGACAUCAAAAUGUUGACUCACCUGAAUCUUAAUAAUUUUUUUUUUCUAUGGUUCAUUUUGGCAUCAAAUGUGUAGCUCACUAUUACAGUGAUGGGUGGGGACAGCUCCUGGCAUUUGGGUUCAGAGCAGCUAAGAGAGGGGAUGUGGCAGAUGUUAUGGGCAAGCAGUAGCUCAUUGUGAAUUCCCCUCAAGAAAAAAUGCUAAGCCUUUGAUGAGCUCUAAUAAAUAAUUAGCAGCAGAUAAAACAAGAGUACUGCUGCC